AGAGUUUGAUCAUGGCUCAGAACGAACGCUGGCGGCUGGCCUAACACAUGCAAGUCGAACGGACGUAGCAAUACGUUAGUGGCGCACGGGAGAGUAAUGUGUGGGAACCUGCCUUUUGGUUUGGGAUAACAUCGGGAAACUGGUGCUAAUACCGGAUAAGCCCCACGGGGGAAAGAUUUAUCGCCGAAAGAUGGGCCCAC
This 200-nucleotide ribosomal RNA is filed under the name uncultured bacterium. RNAcentral's name for it is "partial 16S ribosomal RNA". It matches the Rfam family "Bacterial small subunit ribosomal RNA", at positions 8 to 234 of the family's 1533-position model. The record is from RNAcentral.